Molecule: ribosomal RNA, 1485 nt
Filed under: Salmonella enterica
Lineage: Bacteria; Pseudomonadati; Pseudomonadota; Gammaproteobacteria; Enterobacterales; Enterobacteriaceae
Description: bacterial SSU rRNA
Rfam family: Bacterial small subunit ribosomal RNA
Source: RNAcentral
CCUAACACAUGCAAGUCGAACGGUAACAGGAAGCAGCUUGCUGCUUUGCUGACGAGUGGCGGACGGGUGAGUAAUGUCUGGGAAACUGCCUGAUGGAGGGGGAUAACUACUGGAAACGGUGGCUAAUACCGCAUAACGUCGCAAGACCAAAGAGGGGGACCUUCGGGCCUCUUGCCAUCAGAUGUGCCCAGAUGGGAUUAGCUUGUUGGUGAGGUAACGGCUCACCAAGGCGACGAUCCCUAGCUGGUCUGAGAGGAUGACCAGCCACACUGGAACUGAGACACGGUCCAGACUCCUACGGGAGGCAGCAGUGGGGAAUAUUGCACAAUGGGCGCAAGCCUGAUGCAGCCAUGCCGCGUGUAUGAAGAAGGCCUUCGGGUUGUAAAGUACUUUCAGCGGGGAGGAAGGUGUUGUGGUUAAUAACCGCAGCAAUUGACGUUACCCGCAGAAGAAGCACCGGCUAACUCCGUGCCAGCAGCCGCGGUAAUACGGAGGGUGCAAGCGUUAAUCGGAAUUACUGGGCGUAAAGCGCACGCAGGCGGUCUGUCAAGUCGGAUGUGAAAUCCCCGGGCUCAACCUGGGAACUGCAUUCGAAACUGGCAGGCUUGAGUCUUGUAGAGGGGGGUAGAAUUCCAGGUGUAGCGGUGAAAUGCGUAGAGAUCUGGAGGAAUACCGGUGGCGAAGGCGGCCCCCUGGACAAAGACUGACGCUCAGGUGCGAAAGCGUGGGGAGCAAACAGGAUUAGAUACCCUGGUAGUCCACGCCGUAAACGAUGUCUACUUGGAGGUUGUGCCCUUGAGGCGUGGCUUCCGGAGCUAACGCGUUAAGUAGACCGCCUGGGGAGUACGGCCGCAAGGUUAAAACUCAAAUGAAUUGACGGGGGCCCGCACAAGCGGUGGAGCAUGUGGUUUAAUUCGAUGCAACGCGAAGAACCUUACCUGGUCUUGACAUCCACAGAACUUUCCAGAGAUGGAUUGGUGCCUUCGGGAACUGUGAGACAGGUGCUGCAUGGCUGUCGUCAGCUCGUGUUGUGAAAUGUUGGGUUAAGUCCCGCAACGAGCGCAACCCUUAUCCUUUGUUGCCAGCGGUCCGGCCGGGAACUCAAAGGAGACUGCCAGUGAUAAACUGGAGGAAGGUGGGGAUGACGUCAAGUCAUCAUGGCCCUUACGACCAGGGCUACACACGUGCUACAAUGGCGCAUACAAAGAGAAGCGACCUCGCGAGAGCAAGCGGACCUCAUAAAGUGCGUCGUAGUCCGGAUUGGAGUCUGCAACUCGACUCCAUGAAGUCGGAAUCGCUAGUAAUCGUGGAUCAGAAUGCCACGGUGAAUACGUUCCCGGGCCUUGUACACACCGCCCGUCACACCAUGGGAGUGGGUUGCAAAAGAAGUAGGUAGCUUAACCUUCGGGAGGGCGCUUACCACUUUGUGAUUCAUGACUGGGGUGAAGUCGUAACAAGGUAACCGUAGGGGAACCUGCGGUUGGA